Molecule: long non-coding RNA, 2817 nt
Filed under: Dromaius novaehollandiae (emu)
Lineage: Eukaryota; Metazoa; Chordata; Aves; Casuariiformes; Dromaiidae
Description: lncRNA (ENSDNVG00000004296.1)
Source: RNAcentral
AUGAGUGUCAGCCAUGCAAGAGAGCAGCAAAAGAGGACAAAGAAAAUCAGAGCAGGCUCUGGUCUAGUCUUAGAUUCAGGAGGUGAUGAGCUUUUAAGAAGACUGUGGACUCGACAGUCAGCAGCUUUCACGAGAAGAAAACGCAGCCCCAUGGAUGGGAAUGAAGACAUAGCUCACCCCAUAGACCCCCACAGACUGUUCCUGCUCUGCGGUCUCUGUGCAGCAUAAGGUCAAAGACUUUCUCAAGCUUUCACAACUUUCCUGCUUCUGUUCAAAAGGCCCCUGUUUUGCACCCCAUGCUCAGUUGCCCUGUGUGUAGCCAGUUGCGGGUAAAAGAGGCUGCACUUUCUAGACAGCUAACAGAAGUGGGGUUGUUCCCAUUUCACAGGUUGGGAAUUUUAUCAAAAUGUUCAAGAAAAAAGAUCAUAACAAGAGAUCUGCUUGGUAGAAGCAGUUAUUGCUCUUUAUAAAAAGCUGUAUAUUGCAUACAUUUAUUGACAAACUGUACAAGUAUGAACUGCUAGUAAUGAAAAGGCACUUGGCACAAUCAAUUACAUAGAUACUCAUUUGAUUCAUUGUUGUUGCUCUUUAUUGUUCUACCAGUGAUUUACUGAAGUUUGUUAAUUAGUCCAUUUUUUCCCAUUUCCAGUGGUAAAAUCUUUGAAAGAGUUUCUAUAAAGCUUUCAUUUCAAUGCAUAAGCCAAAAACUAGUAAGUUACGGUGUUCAGAUGCUCUUCACAAAACUCCCAGCAGUGAUGCAGUACAGAGUUGCACAAGUCAAAGCAUCUAAUUUUGCAUCUAAUUCACAAAGAAAUAAGCCAAACAGUAGUGGUUAAUUGCCUGGAGAACUGGUGGUAAUAUGUGAUUAUAUGCUAGCUAACUUGCCAGAUAAAAGGAAACAUAGCAAGCACAAGGCUAGCAUCUCUUGAAGGGAAUAUGGAUGACCCAGUUUACUGCUAGAAGAGAAACCAUUUGUUUUCUGUUUGCCUUGCAAAGAGGUAGGGACUUUGCAGUUGCGAGUUGGGUUUUUGAGUUUUAUAUAUGUGAAAAUCUUAUCUUCUGCUCUUUUGUGAUGUGGGAUAAAAUUAGCCCUCAGAAAGAGGAACAGAAAAAGCAUUAAAAUAGCUGUUUUAGCUGAAAGUGAUAAUAGAAUCUACUGCACUCAUCAUUGCUGUUGGUAAUGUAAAGACUUGUACUGUAGAUGCAACAGUGUUAGGAUGAUUUUGUUUUUAGGUAAUUUCUAUGAUUUAUCCAUUAUGUGCAAAGUAUGUUGUUACUUUCAAAAAGUCUUUAUUUGUUUUGUUGUUUUAUAGCAGUUACUCAUUUAUUACAGUUGAAGGAACUGUGUAGCAUAAAAAUGGUUCAUACUGCACGAUUAAAUUGGCUAUAAUUAGCAAUUUACCACACAUUGUUUUAAAGGGACUGAAUAAUUUUAGCUAAGAUUAUUGUUCAUGGGAUGAGAAUCCUGCACAAAUUGCUUUCCCCAAACAAAAAUUGGUAAUCAGUUUUAAAUAUCUAAAACAAAUUUUAUGAGAUUAUGUAAUGUUGUGCUCGCUGUAUUAUAAGGAAGAAAACAAUGCCUUGGUUAAAUGGCUAGGAUAUUUUAAUGUCAAUGAAAGACUGUGGUGAAUUUUAUUAUGCAAUAUUUGAGAGCUUAAAGUGUAAUAGCCAUAUUUCAAAAUAGCAAUUAGCAUACCAACCAAAAAUGAAGGUUACAUUUUAGAAAGAAACUAAGCUCCCAAAAAAUUAAACUUACCUUGUAUUCGGACUACUCAGGCACUGAUUCUCUGGGGAAGGACUGGGAAUUUUCUGUGAUAGUCUCCAACCUGUAACUUGUGUUCACCAUGUCCUGGGAAGCUCAGUGCAGGAUGCCAGCCCGGAGAGCCUCCGUGAAGGGGCUAGAGACAGGCCUGGCCUUCAUUUCAUCCAGGUGAAAGAGGAGAAUUCUGUGCUGGUGCAGGGCUUAGGGCUCCCAAACAGGAGAAAAAACAAAUGGGAACAAAAGGUAUUAAAUAUUCGUAGGCCUGAAACCAUGAAAUGCAACAAGAACCACAACUUUGUGGAGAAGCAGGGGUGACCCAAGCACGUUUUUGGUGCCCUUUUUGGAAGAUCAUUGGGUUCUAACCCUUUAGGGGUCAGUACAGUCAUAAUUUUAUAAGCUGCAUAGAGUAAAUAAGAAUUAAGAGAAGAUCUUUUUUUUUUUCUUCUGGCACUGCAUUUCAUUGGUUCCUUCUUUUUUUAUCAUGACACAGCUAAGAGGCAGUUCCCUGAAUAUGGCUGUUUCUCUCUUCUAUCUUAGAUAAAGACAGGUACUACUCUAAACCCUAGGUGAGAAAUUUUGCAUAGUUCAUUCCCAUCUCGCGCAGCCUGCGAGAGAAUUAUCACAUUGCCGUCUCCACCAUGUCCCUGUUUACUGCUGCAUUCAAUAACAGUAGAUUCACUAGUGUCUUUUUUUUCCCUGUAAUGUUCCUCAGUUGACACUGACUUUUAAAUUGUUAUAAUUUUGCUCUUUCAUUAACACCUUAUUUUGACAAACAGGAUCAGUUCACACCUCUGAAUAGCUGUGUCAGCCUGUCCGCAGCCCUCAACAGGCCUCACUGUAAAGCUAACCAAAUCCUUUGAAGGUUAUUGUGUCCAGCAUGUGGACUAGCAAUUUGGGGCUGGUGAAGCUAAGAUUCUGGAGUACAAUUAUGCAGGAACGUGAACUAGAAAGAAUAAUUAUGCAGGCAUUUUUGCAGCUGCAUAAUUGCUUUAUACAGUAGGUCAUGAUUGUGCUGCAGUAAUAAAUUGUAAUGUUGUCCAUGCCUUUUAAAAUGU